UCGAUCUCCCUACUCUUCUUAUUAGAACAAUAGUCCCACACAAGCAGUACACGUCACAGAUCUGGUUUUGACCUUAAAAUAAUAUUUUUACAACUGCACAAUCAAAUUCUAAAAUACACAAUAAUUACUCAAUACAUUUAAGAUCCAAACGUUGUCAAUCUUACAUUAAUAAUAAAUAGAAUUCCUUAAUAUACAUAUAAAUAUAGAUAAAAUUAAAAUAAAAUAAAAUAAAACCUUUAAAAUCAGCACACAUUAAAAUUGUAAAAAGUCAUUCACUAAUUUGAUUUACACAAACAUAACAACAGACACAGAUUUGCUGGUUAACUUCCACCAAUUAUCUCAUCACCCUCAAGAACUCCUAAUUCCUAUAGAUUUGUUUACCUAUGCUGCAUCGCCCGUCUAUUCCACCACAUCCCGUUAACAUAACUUUAAAAGAAACAUCAUGAUAAUGAAAACUGAGUUGAUGGCUCCUUGUAUCCGAAUCAUUUUGUAACUUGUUACCUUUGACCUGAAGAUGCUCUACAAAGUUUAAAGAGCGAAACCGGUCGUCGGAAGUUAUAAUAAAGAUUGAGAGUAAGUCUGACUUUUACUUCAUUUAAAAUGAACUCUCACAUGCAACCCAUUCAAGAUUUGAAGAAUACGAUGAUCACCAAAACAGGAGAGUUAAAUCCAGAAAUGAAAAAAAAAACAGAUAAAAAAGGGCUGAAAACUCAAGUGAAGUGCAAGUUCUCACUUGUCCAAAUAUAAAGGCAUCUACAGCCUAUUACAAAACAAAACUUAAAGUUCACAAUUGGACUAUUUAUAACUUGGCAACACAUGAAGGCACAUGCUUUGUUUGGCACGAAGGUAAUGGAGGUGUAGAAAGUGAUGUAUUUGUUUCAAUGGUUGUGAGAUGUAUUUGAGAAAAGAGUUGGAAAAAAAACCAAGUAUCAAUGAAAUAAUUAUUUGGAGUGAUGGUUGCACUUACCAAAACAGGUGUGAGACUGUUUCAAAUGCUCUACUGUAUUUCACUUGCCAAAUAGGAGUAACUGUACAUCUGAAAUAUUUGGAAGUGGGACACACACAAAUGGAGGUAGACUCCAUGAAUAGCAAAAUAAAAAAAAAAGCUUAAGAACAAAUAGCAUUACGUUCCGGCCGACUUCGAGAGAGCAAUACGUGACGCAAGAACCCAUCCAAGCCCUUACUGUGUAGAAAUAUUAUCUUUUAGGGAUUUUCUUUGUUUUUCAAAUGGAUACUGCAAGAGUAUAAGGCCUGGUUCAAAAAAAGGAGACCCUUUUGUCACUGACUUAAGGUGCCUUAAGUAUGUAAAGGAUGGCCAUAUUUGCUACAAAUUAAACUUUUCAGAUAACUGGUUAGAGCUACCUACGAGACCGAAACCAAUUAAUGAAGUUUUCCUAACACUCAAUCCUCUGUACUCCAAAUCUCUACCAAUUCAAGACAGGAAGUACAAAGAGUUAAAAGAAUUAAAAGCUUGCCUUGAGGAGGACUACCACUUUUUUUACGACUACUUGAGUCAUGGCAACUAGAAAAAAAGUUUUACUUACUGUUUUGUUACAAAAAUGAGUAGAAGUUGUGUAAAUAAAAUUUUUAAAAAUGU
Molecule: long non-coding RNA, 1597 nt
Filed under: Diabrotica virgifera virgifera (western corn rootworm)
Lineage: Eukaryota; Metazoa; Arthropoda; Insecta; Coleoptera; Chrysomelidae
Description: uncharacterized LOC126890054
Source: RNAcentral